Octopus sinensis (East Asian common octopus) is the source of this 212-nucleotide long non-coding RNA. RefSeq lists it as uncharacterized. NCBI's taxonomy places the organism in Eukaryota, Metazoa, Mollusca, Cephalopoda, Octopoda, Octopodidae. The record is from RefSeq and is a predicted model, not a curated record. The transcript is spliced from 3 exons.
AGAAAGACUCUUUGCAUUUUACAAUGCAAGGACCCUAUUAGGCAUGUUUCUGAUCAAAUGACAAAUAUUCUCUUGCAGAAUUUCUUGCUAUGUUUCAUGCAGUAAUCUCAAAAGAUCUGGCUUUGAAGAUGCUUUCUUGUUCUUUUUAUGAAGUGUUCUGUCCAUUAUGUCCCAGAGGUUUUCAAUAGGGUUCAUAUCUGGUGACUGACUUG